GACGAACGCUGGCGGCGUGCUUAACACAUGCAAGUCGAACGGAAAGACCCUGCUUUUGUGGGGUGCUCGAGUGGCGAACGGGUGAGUAACACGUGAGUAACCUGCCCUUUACUUUGGGAUAACUUCAGGAAACUUGGGCUAAUACCGUAUAUGAGCUCCUGCUGCAUGGUGGUUGUUGUACAGUUUCGGCGGUUGGGGAUGGACUCGCGGCUUAUCAGCUUGUUGGUGGGGUAGUGGCUUACCAAGGCUUUGACGGGUAGCCGGCCUGAGAGGGUGACCGGCCACAUUGGGACUGAGAUACGGCCCAGACGGCUACGGGAGGCAGCAGUGGGGAAGAGUGCACAAUGGGCGGAAGCCUGAUGCAGCAACGCCGCGUGCGGGAUGACGGCCUGCGGGGUGUAAACCGCGUUCGCCUGUGACGAAGCGUGAGUGACGGUAAUGGGUAAAGAAGCACCGGCUAACUACGUG
Molecule: ribosomal RNA, 468 nt
Filed under: uncultured bacterium
Lineage: Bacteria
Description: partial 16S ribosomal RNA
Rfam family: Bacterial small subunit ribosomal RNA
Source: RNAcentral